RNAcentral lists this non-coding RNA (796 nucleotides) under Bacillus methanolicus MGA3. Lineage: Bacteria; Bacillati; Bacillota; Bacilli; Caryophanales; Bacillaceae. The record is from RNAcentral.
GAUCCUCAAAAUGAGGCUCGAUUUUUCUUUUUUCCUUUCUUUCCUUCUAUAACAGUUAGAUGGACAGGGGAUUUUUUCUUUCUUCUAUUUUGUUUUUUUAGGGAUGAAAGAGAACCAACAUUUGAACGACGGUUUGUUUGUUUACCAUCCUUGUGCUUGAAUCUCUUCUUAGAUCUUUUUGCGGCUUUAAUAAAUGCUCGCUGCUCUUGCUUCUCAGGGGUUGAUAGGUAAAAAUGUCGGAAGAAAAAAUAAACAAUACCACCGAUCAAAAUAAUGACAGCUAUUCUCUGUAAAAAACCGGCCGGAUUUGCAAGUAGACUUCCAAAAAUGCCUAUACCUGCAAAGAUAAUGAGACCUGUUACAACCAAAUUUGCAGUCCGAUUUUUCAAGAAAGCCACCUCCCUAAGAGCAUAAUGAGCAUUUUUUCCCUUUUUUAAACUUCCAGACUAAUACUUUUACACAAUUUCCUCCGAUUUUAAUCGUUCGUCUGUUUCUUUUUCUAAUCUUAAGAGCUCUUUAAACGAAAGAAUUGCAACUUCCACUUGGUCGUUGGUCGGUUCUUUUGUUGUUAAGAGCUGAAGCCAUAACCCUGGGAGUCCAAGAUAUUUUAAUAUUGGAACAUUCCGGAGCCUAUUUGUCAUCUGCAGUACUUCAAAAGAAAUCCCGAGUACGACAGGGAUUAAAGCUAGGCGAUUGAUUACCCUUACCCAUAAAGGCUCUGUUGGAACGAGCAUAUAAACAAAAACACCGAUGAUUACUGUAAACAAAAUAAAACUGCUUCCGCACCUGUAAUGAA